CCUACGUGAGGCUGCAGUGGGGAAUAUUGGACAAUGGGCGAAAGCCUGAUCCAGCCAUGCCGCGUGUGUGAAGAAGGCCUUCGGGUUGUAAAGCACUUUCAGUGGGGAAGAAAGCCUUGGGGCUAAUACCCUCGAGGAAGGACAUCACCCACAGAAGAAGCACCGGCUAACUCCGUGCCAGCAGCCGCGGUAAUACGGAGGGUGCGAGCGUUAAUCGGAAUUACUGGGCGUAAAGCGCGCGUAGGCGGUCUGAUAAGCCGGUUGUGAAAGCCCCGGGCUCAACCUGGGAACGGCAUCCGGAACUGGCAGGCUAGAGUGCAGGAGAGGAAGGUAGAAUUCCCGGUGUAGCGGUGAAAUGCGUAGAGAUCGGGAGGAAUACCAGUGGCGAAGGCGGCCUUCUGGACUGACACUGACGCUGAGGUGCGAAAGCGUGGGUAGCAAACAGGAUUAGAUACCCGAGUAGUC
This 465-nucleotide ribosomal RNA is filed under the name Vreelandella stevensii. RNAcentral describes it as "partial 16S ribosomal RNA". It matches the Rfam family "Bacterial small subunit ribosomal RNA", at positions 338 to 795 of the family's 1533-position model. Lineage: Bacteria; Pseudomonadati; Pseudomonadota; Gammaproteobacteria; Oceanospirillales; Halomonadaceae. The record is from RNAcentral.